RNAcentral lists this ribosomal RNA (529 nucleotides) under Tylodelphys mashonensis. RNAcentral describes it as "bacterial SSU rRNA". It matches the Rfam family "Eukaryotic small subunit ribosomal RNA", at positions 930 to 1485 of the family's 1831-position model. The record is from RNAcentral. Lineage: Eukaryota; Metazoa; Platyhelminthes; Trematoda; Diplostomida; Diplostomidae.
AGNCAACCUGCUAAUUCGGAAGCCCUCGCCGAGGAUGUAUUCAUUCAUCAAGAACGAAAGUUAGGGUUUCGAAAACGAUCCGAUACCGUCGCGGUUUUAACCAUAAACAAUGCCGCCAGGAGAUCGGCCAAUGUAUUUAUGACCUUACGGGCACCUUACAAAAAACUAAAUUCUUUGGGUUCUGGGGGGAGUAUGGUCCCAAGGCUCAAACUUAAAGAAAUUGACGGAAGGGCACCCCCAGGAUUGGACCCUGCGGCUUAAUUUGACUCAACACGGGAAACCUCACCAGGCCCAAACACAAUAAGGAUUGACAGAUUGAGAGCUCUUUCUGGAUUUAGUGGGUGGGGGUGCAUGGCCGUUCUAAGUUGGGGGAUUGAUUUGUCUGCUUAAUUCCGAUAACGAACGAGACUUUAACCUGCUAAAUACUCAGCCUAGGCUCUUGGUGGUUGCUACUUCUUAAAGGGACUAUCGGCGUCAAGCCGGAUGAAGUUGAGCAAUAACAGGUCUGUGAUGCCCUUAGAUGUUCUGG